RNAcentral lists this transfer RNA (64 nucleotides) under Brachyteles arachnoides (woolly spider monkey). RNAcentral's name for it is "tRNA-Tyr". It matches the Rfam family "tRNA". Rfam says of the family: Transfer RNA (tRNA) molecules are approximately 80 nucleotides in length. Their secondary structure includes four short double-helical elements and three loops (D, anti-codon, and T loops). Further hydrogen bonds mediate the characteristic L-shaped molecular structure. tRNAs have two regions of fundamental functional importance: the anti-codon, which is responsible for specific mRNA codon recognition, and the 3' end, to which the tRNAs corresponding amino acid is attached (by aminoacyl-tRNA synthetases). tRNAs cope with the degeneracy of the genetic code in two manners: having more than one tRNA (with a specific anti-codon) for a particular amino acid; and 'wobble' base-pairing, i.e. permitting non-standard base-pairing at the 3rd anti-codon position. Lineage: Eukaryota; Metazoa; Chordata; Mammalia; Primates; Atelidae. The record is from RNAcentral. RNAcentral also lists the same sequence under 1 other name.
GGUAAAAUGGCUGAGUAAGCAUUAGACUGUAAAUCUAAAGACAGAGGGAGAUCCUCUUUUUGCC